CCCUUAGAUGUUCUGGGCCGCACGCGCGCUACAAUGGUCUUCGCAAACGGAUGCAUUCUCGAAGGAGAAUGCCAAUCUUGGAAUCCAUGCCUUGGUCGGGACAGUUGCUUGCAAUUUUUCGACUCGAACCAGGAAUUCCUUGUAAUCGUGAUUCAUCACAUCACGAUGAAUACGUCCCUGCCCUUUGUACACACCGCCCGUCGCUCCUACCGAUCGAAGAGUUAGGUGAAUUGUUUUGAUCGAUAAGAUUUGACUAUGGUCAACUCUCGUUGUGAAAUUCUGUGAAUCUGACUGUUUAGAGGAAGGAAAAGUCGUAACA
This 319-nucleotide ribosomal RNA is filed under the name uncultured eukaryote. RNAcentral's name for it is "partial 18S ribosomal RNA". It matches the Rfam family "Eukaryotic small subunit ribosomal RNA", at positions 1470 to 1796 of the family's 1831-position model. The record is from RNAcentral.